UCGAACGGUAGCACAGAGAGCUUGCUCUUGGGUGACGAGUGGCGGACGGGUGAGUAAUGUCUGGGAAACUGCCCGAUGGAGGGGGAUAACUACUGGAAACGGUAGCUAAUACCGCAUAACGUCGCAAGACCAAAGUGGGGGACCUUCGGGCCUCACACCAUCGGAUGUGCCCAGAUGGGAUUAGCUAGUAGGUGGGGUAAUGGCUCACCUAGGCGACGAUCCCUAGCUGGUCUGAGAGGAUGACCAGCCACACUGGAACUGAGACACGGUCCAGACUCCUACGGGAGGCAGCAGUGGGGAAUAUUGCACAAUGGGCGCAAGCCUGAUGCAGCCAUGCCGCGUGUAUGAAGAAGGCCUUCGGGUUGUAAAGUACUUUCAGCGAGGAGGAAGGCAUUAAGGUUAAUAACCUUAGUGAUUGACGUUACUCGCAGAAGAAGCACCGGCUAACUCCGUGCCAGCAGCCGCGGUAAUACGGAGGGUGCAAGCGUUAAUCGGAAUUACUGGGCGUAAAGCGCACGCAGGCGGUCUGUCAAGUCGGAUGUGAAAUCCCCGGGCUCAACCUGGGAACUGCAUUCGAAACUGGCAGGCUAGAGUCUUGUAGAGGGGGGUAGAAUUCCAGGUGUAGCGGUGAAAUGCGUAGAGAUCUGGAGGAAUACCGGUGGCGAAGGCGG
This 671-nucleotide ribosomal RNA is filed under the name Kluyvera sp. 6hR37. RNAcentral's name for it is "bacterial SSU rRNA". It matches the Rfam family "Bacterial small subunit ribosomal RNA", at positions 62 to 724 of the family's 1533-position model. Lineage: Bacteria; Pseudomonadati; Pseudomonadota; Gammaproteobacteria; Enterobacterales; Enterobacteriaceae. The record is from RNAcentral.